Molecule: ribosomal RNA, 282 nt
Filed under: uncultured Methanomicrobiales archaeon
Lineage: Archaea; Methanobacteriati; Methanobacteriota; Methanomicrobia; Methanomicrobiales
Description: partial 16S ribosomal RNA
Rfam family: Archaeal small subunit ribosomal RNA
Source: RNAcentral
AACAGUUGCCAGCUCGGUCCUCCGGGGAUGGUGGGGACACUGUUGGGACCGCCUCUGCUAAAGAGGAGGAAGGAAUGGGCAACGGUAGGUCAGCAUGCCCCGAAUUAUCUGGGCUACACGCGGGCUACAAUGGGUGGGACAAUGGGUAUCGACACCGAAAGGUGAAGGCAAUCUCCUAAACCCAUCCGUAGUUCGGAUUGUGGGCUGCAACUCGCCCACAUGAAGCUGGAAUCUGUAGUAAUCGUGUCUCAAAAUGGCACGGUGAAUAUGUCCCUGCUCCUU